UAUAUAAUAAUUUAACUUAUUUAAUGUGUUUGUGUUGCAUCCAUAUCAACGGUCCGGUGACUAAAGCCGAAGGCGCACUUCUGUCUCACGAACAGAAUAGAAGCCAGUAAAACAGAAAAUCCUAACGAAAAUAAAAAAACGUUGAUUCGUAUAACUUAUAAGCUAUUUUCUCGAAACACUCUUUCACUCAACAAGUUUUCGCUAUUUUCACUACUUAUUUCGUACACACUAACAAACAAUUCAAAAACUUACACCACCAAAAACAAGCAACCAACAACAGCAACAGUGAAAUAUAGACUUCGUGAAACCAAAAAAACGAAGCAGCUACUACAACUCGUUCCAACAAGCACGGCGUCCCUACGUUGUAUUCAAUACUCUGCAAUUACUUCCAAACCACACGUGUCUCUGCCCCAAUCAUCGUCGUACGACCUACAGCAAGAGACACGAACA
This is a long non-coding RNA of Bactrocera latifrons, 450 nucleotides long. RefSeq lists it as uncharacterized. The record is from RefSeq and is a predicted model, not a curated record. The transcript is spliced from 2 exons. Lineage: Eukaryota; Metazoa; Arthropoda; Insecta; Diptera; Tephritidae.